Molecule: long non-coding RNA, 2883 nt
Organism: Microplitis demolitor
Lineage: Eukaryota; Metazoa; Arthropoda; Insecta; Hymenoptera; Braconidae
Exons: 3
Source: RefSeq, a predicted model, not a curated record
CACUUAUUUGAUUAUUUAUCAUCACUGGCAUUGGCCCUGAUCCCAACAUUAUGCUACCAGUUGAAGGGUCUGAAGUUGUAGUCAUUAUUGGGCUGGAACCUAUAUCUUUCCGAUUCAAAGUCUUUGAUGCUAUCCAUUGCGUUGACCCACGUAUGUGAUCGCCCAGUAAACAAGAUAUUAAAAAGAAUUGAAAAAUUUUACGGUCAAAUGGAUUACCGAAUGAAAAUCUUAAGGUACUUCAAGUAAAUCAAGGAAAAUGAAUUUAAUCAAAAUUUCAGUAAAUCAAACUUGUACUAGAAAAAAUAGAAAAGAGAGGAGAGAGGAACACAAAACAGAAUAACCUGUUCAGAAAAAGUGAAAAAUAAUUUGAUUUGAAAACUAAAUAAAUCUGAUAAAAUGAAAUUGUUUCUAAAGAAUUUAAAUAAAAAAAAUAGUAAUUUUAAUAUAAAUAUUGUGUACGAGCGUAAAAAAUAAAUUUGUUUUAUGAUGAACUUUUUAAAAAAAAUAAAAUUUCAAUAACAAAUUUUGAGCUUUUUAAGUUGUAUAUGAAUCAUAAAAGUUUUUAAAAUAAUAACAAUUUUUGCAUUAGGCUACCCAAACAAGUUCCCGAUUAGAUCUCGAUGUGACAAAACCAGUAAAAGUCAUUCAAUUUUGCAUUGGGCUCUUCCAAAAGGUUCCCAAUCAGAUUCCACUUAGGAAAAAUUGGGUACCUUAGUUAGGUAACUAGUUUUUGGAUUGGGAUAUCUCAAAAAGUUCCCAAUCGGGUUCUGACUGGGGUAGACCUUCUGAACAUGCUAUAGCGAUUUCCAAUUGGGACCCAAUAUCUGUAUUGGAACAAUUUCUAGUCAGGAAAUAUUUUUCCCCGAAAUAUAAUCAACUGUUCAAAGAGUAAAAUGAACUUUCCUUAAGAAUAAUCAAUUUUGAAUCGAGAUGAUCUGUGAUUCUAAUCAAAAAUAAAAAAUAUUUAACUUAAUGGUAAGAAAUGUCUCGGUUUAAGUAUUUUAUAGUGUUGCGGCAAGUAAACGUCGACGUUUAAACCAACAGCAACUGCGCUCACGGCUCAAUGCAAAAAUUCUCUUGGGAAAGUUAACUGUACUGUACUAAAGUGGCGCUAGUGUAGACUUCACAUUGUACAAUGUGCUCAAUAGAUAAAGGUAAAGUAAACGAACACUCAAGAAGGAUCGGAUAGCAUAACUGGUAAAGCUCUCGCGUGAUGUCAAAUCAGUCUAGGUUCGAUUCCUAUCAUGAAUGAACCAUUUACUUUUCUCAAAUUGUUCAUAAACCAUUAGUUGCGGAAGUUUAUUCCUUAUCUCUUCUACUACCAUAUUAUAAUAUUCUGAAUAUAUACAUACACUUUCCUGCUUCACAGCAUUUAAUAUUUAUACUAGGUUAAACUCACUUAAAAAUAUGGUAACACGACUUUAUCUCUCUGAACAAAAUCUUCCCGACAAAAGCUCCUUGGCUAAAUCUCUCCACGACAAACUCCUCCUCUCCAGGAUAAAAUUUCUAAAAUAAUUUUCAUCAGUCCAAUCCCUGAUGGCCAUACUAUCACUUCAAAAAUUUGACGUUCAGUAAUUUUGAUUAACUUGCCGGGGGAUCAAAACUUCUGAUACCGAUAAAAUUUUAAUUUUUUUAUAUUUUUUCAUAAUAUUAAUUUUUAUCAGAUUGAAAUAGCACCAAUGUCUAAAAUUUAUUUCCCUAUGAAUCAGAGGGUGAUGUAUUUGAUACUGAAGUGCCAUCAUCUCACCCAACCACCACAUCAUCUGAUUCAUUAUCAUUUCCAUUAAAAACGACAUUAACAAAAAUUUUGGUCGUCCAUCUUCUGUGCUCUAUCAAAAAAGUGCAAACACCACGCUAACGUCAGCAAUGUUCGAGACAUUAACGAAGUUUAUAAAAGACGAGUUCAGCAAGCUUCAUGCUCGCAUUGAUCGUGUUACGAGCCAACAUUCUACGGCCACGUUAACAGUAUUUGUGUUAAUCAAUCAAUUAAUGUAACGGGACCGAAGUCCACCUCUGUUUUACUGAAUGCCAUUUCCGCGCCCUUUUGGGCAUACAUGAGUCCUACCUCUCUUGGGCCAAACACUACUUUCAUCUCAGGAAAUAAAGAGACUCUGGCCGCAGUGGGCUUAGAAAGGCCCCCCGUGGUACUAGACUCCCAGCGCUGGUCAACAUGGUUGUUUAUGGAAGUGGUGGGACGCCACUUCUUCACAUACCCUAUCUAAAGAGCUUCCUCCACUUGUACAUUCGUGUUAGCAUAAUUUGACACUCAGUGGAUGCAAAUCAUUGAUGAGAGACUAGAUCUCUGAAUAGUAGUCCAAACCAACACUAAUCACGUCGUAGACUUCAAGAUACAGUUGGAAUCUCUAAAAAUACCACCAGCUAUUGAAGAACCUAACUCCAUCACCACACGGAGAAAAUUUUUUUGUUUUGAUUGCUAUGGUUUCAUAGUAAUACCGUUCCAUAUUGGUCACCUGUUGGAAAUUUAAAUAAACACAUGCAAAAAUCACUAUACCCGUAGUAAAAUCGAGAACGACUAUUUUACAAAAAAUUAUUUGAAAAGUUCAAAAAUAACAUUUUAUGUUAUUUUUUUCCGGCUAAAUCAUAAUAUAAUGUACUAAAAUGUGUUUGAAAUUAUACCAACUCUUCCUCUUAAUGGUCUCUUUCGAUCAUCAUAUAAUGUCAUCUAACUUGUUCUUUAGUUAAAACCAUAUUAUCAACAAAAAAUUAAAAAAACACAGUUUUCAAUAAUUUUCUCAGAUAUUUCAUAUAUUAUUGUUCUGACCUGAAUCAAAAAUCAUUAAAAUCUUGAUUUUGAUCGAGAAAAAAACCGUUAAAAACUAAAGUUUUUUUUGUUUACUGUUAAAUAAGUAGUUAUUUUUUGGA